Molecule: transfer RNA, 67 nt
Filed under: Cicindela puritana
Lineage: Eukaryota; Metazoa; Arthropoda; Insecta; Coleoptera; Carabidae
Description: tRNA-Glu
Rfam family: tRNA
About the family: Transfer RNA (tRNA) molecules are approximately 80 nucleotides in length.
Source: RNAcentral
GUUUAUAUAGUUUAACUAAAACUUUACAUUUUCAAUGUAAGAAUAAAAUUUUAAAUUUUUAUAAAUA